GAUGAACGCUAGCGGCAGGCUUAAUACAUGCAAGUCAAGGGGGUAGCAAUACAACCGGCGCACGGGUGAGUAACACGUACACAACAUACCAUAUACUGAGGUAUAGCUUCGGGAAACUGAAGGUAAUCCCUCAUAGUAUUGUGAAAGGGCAUCUUUUUACAAUUAAAGUUUCGACGGUAUAUGAUUGGUGUGCGUUUGAUUAGCUAGUUGGUAGGGUAACGGCCUACCAAGGCAACGAUCAAUAGCUGGCGUGAGAGCGCGACCAGCCACACUGGAACUGAGACACGGUCCAGACUCCUACGGGAGGCAGCAGUAGGGAAUAUUGGACAAUGGGCGAAAGCCUGAUCCAGCCAUGCCGCGUGAUAGAUGAAGGCCCUCUGGGUUGUAAAUAUCUUUUAUCUGGGAAGAAACACUUCUAUUCUUAGAAGCUUGACGGUACCAGAGGAAUAAGACACCGGCUAACUACGU
RNAcentral lists this ribosomal RNA (468 nucleotides) under uncultured bacterium. RNAcentral's name for it is "bacterial SSU rRNA". It matches the Rfam family "Bacterial small subunit ribosomal RNA", at positions 28 to 506 of the family's 1533-position model. The record is from RNAcentral.